CCAAUAGCGUAUAUUAAAGUUGUUGCAGUUAAAAAGCUCGUAGUUGAAUUUCGGGGUUAGCAGGUCGGUCGUGCCAUUGGUAUGAACUGGUCUCGCUGAUCCCUCCCUCUUGAAGAACUGUGAUGCCAUUAAUUUGGUGUCGCAGGGAAUCAGGACUGUUACUUUGAAAAAAUUAGAGUGUUUAAAGCAGGCUUACGCUUGAAUACAUUA
This 210-nucleotide ribosomal RNA is filed under the name uncultured Glomus. RNAcentral's name for it is "partial small subunit ribosomal RNA". It matches the Rfam family "Eukaryotic small subunit ribosomal RNA", at positions 591 to 806 of the family's 1831-position model. The record is from RNAcentral. Lineage: Eukaryota; Fungi; Glomeromycota; Glomeromycetes; Glomerales; Glomeraceae.